This 422-nucleotide unclassified non-coding RNA is filed under the name Leptochromothrix valpauliae BLCC-M82. RNAcentral describes it as "partial 16S-23S ribosomal RNA intergenic spacer". Lineage: Bacteria; Bacillati; Cyanobacteriota; Cyanophyceae; Oscillatoriales; Vermifilaceae. The record is from RNAcentral.
UCACCUCCUUUUUAGGGAGACCUACACCCCUUAGAAAUCGAAAAGCAUACAGCUAUAUAGAUACUAAGUUGGUCUAACCUAGGUCGGUCGAGAAUUGGUAUAUAGCUUUCAAAGUAUUAAUGGUUCAGGAAUGUAAAACAAAAAAUAUAUUGAGAGUUCAGCAACAUGACUUAACUGAAGUCAGACUGCUGAGAUAAUCUCAGCCAGAACCUUGAAAACUGCAUAGAAACGCGAAAAUAGCAGGCAGACACAGACAUUCUUAGUACUGAGUGCGACGUCUUGGAGUGCUGAGUAAAAUCAGUGUGAAGUGGCGAAGAAAUCAGAACUAACUAUUUGUAAUUGUGUAUGCAAAAGUUAAAAGACCAAAUGAAAUGAGUGGUCGAGCGAAUAAGGGCUAACGGUGGAUACCUAGGCACACAGAG